CCUACGGGUGGCAGCAGUGAGGAAUAUUAGUCAAUGGGCGGGAGCCUGAACCAGCCAAGCCGCGUGAGGGAAGAAGGUACAGCGUAUCGUAAACCUCUUUUGUCAGGGAACAAAGGCGGGGACUAGUCCCCGGAUGAGUGUACCUGAAGAAAAAGCAUCGGCUAACUCCGUGCCAGCAGCCGCGGUAAUACGGAGGAUGCGAGCGUUAUCCGGAUUUAUUGGGUUUAAAGGGUGCGCAGGCGGUCUGUUAAGUCAGCGGUCAAAGCCCGGGGCUCAACCCCGGCCCGCCGUUGAAACUGGCAGUCUCGAGUUGGAGAGAAGUAUGCGGAAUGCGCGGUGUAGCUGUGAAAUGCAUAGAUAUCGCGCAGAACUCCGAUUGCGAAGGCAGCAUGCCGGCUCCACACUGACGCUGAGGCACGAAAGCGUGGGUAUCGAACAGGAUUAGAUACCCCAGUAGUC
RNAcentral lists this ribosomal RNA (459 nucleotides) under uncultured bacterium. Its description in RNAcentral is "partial 16S ribosomal RNA". It matches the Rfam family "Bacterial small subunit ribosomal RNA", at positions 338 to 795 of the family's 1533-position model. The record is from RNAcentral.